CCUACGGGCGGCAGCAGUGGGGAAUAUUGGACAAUGGGCGAAAGCCUGAUCCAGCCAUGCCGCGUGUGUGAAGAAGGCCUUCGGGUUGUAAAGCACUUUCAGUGGGGAAGAAAGCCUUGGGGCUAAUACCCUCGAGGAAGGACAUCACCCACAGAAGAAGCACCGGCUAACUCCGUGCCAGCAGCCGCGGUAAUACGGAGGGUGCGAGCGUUAAUCGGAAUUACUGGGCAUAAAGCGCGCGUAGGCGGUCUGAUAAGCCGGUUGUGAAAGCCCCGGGCUCAACCUGGGAACGGCAUCCGGAACUGUCAGGCUAGAGUGCAGGAGAGGAAGGUAGAAUUCCCGGUGUAGCGGUGAAAUGCGUAGAGAUCGGGAGGAAUACCAGUGGCGAAGGCGGCCUUCUGGACUGACACUGACGCUGAGGUGCGAAAGCGUGGGUAGCAAACAGGAUUAGAUACCCCUGUAGUC
RNAcentral lists this ribosomal RNA (465 nucleotides) under Vreelandella stevensii. RNAcentral's name for it is "partial 16S ribosomal RNA". It matches the Rfam family "Bacterial small subunit ribosomal RNA", at positions 338 to 795 of the family's 1533-position model. Lineage: Bacteria; Pseudomonadati; Pseudomonadota; Gammaproteobacteria; Oceanospirillales; Halomonadaceae. The record is from RNAcentral.